CCUUGCUAAAGUCCAAGAAAACAACACCCACCUCUAACUAGGAAUAGACUCUGUCAUAGAAUGAAAUCAGCUUGGUCAGACAUGCUCUACCUACUACAAAUAAUCCAUAUUGGACUCCCACAAAUAUUAUCCUUCAAAGCACAUGUUUCACCCCAGAGAGGAAACAAACAAACAAAAGGUCUUUUUCUGUCCAGACCCUCAUCAAAUGCCCUUUGGAAACGGCAGAGCCAUGUCGAUUGUGUUGUGUUAAUUAGCUAUUCCACCAGCGACUUGGAAAAAGUCAAACAGGUUUUAAGGCAAGAAAAGCUCUUUCACUAACCCCAGCCCCUUCCUGUGAGUGGUGGCCUUUAAAAAUCUCCUUCACAAAUCAGUCCAGAGCCAACUGGUCAAUUUUCUAAGUUAAUCUGAAAAGGUUUCAUGCUCCAAAUCCCUGUGCUUCCUGGCGAUAUUUUUCUCUGCAGUAGGGAAAUAAUUUCUAUACAAAGCGCUGACAAUAGCAGCCCUACCCUAACAAAUGUCUUGCUUCACCUCCUUUCGUAUCCUGGCACGCAGGCCAUCUGUUCCUCUUUCUUUAUCCCCUUUUACUCCAAUCCCUUAUCCUCUUUAUUGCACUCUUCUUAUUUAUCCUAAUGUCCCCUAACAAAUCCAUGUGAUCUCCCCCUAGUCAUAGUAUUGACUCAGGACCUGCACCUUAAUCUCCCUUAGUAGAGCUGAUGUAACCUACUGUAAUGGCUCCUGUGUGCCGUGGGGUCAGGCUGUUCUGGAUAGGACCAGGACAGAAACACCAAGUACUGUAACAACUGCCCUGACUGUUCAGAACAUCGGUCCAUUGGAUCUAAUACUUCUGCUUCUCAGGAGACAUCCGAGUCUUCAAAGGAAAUGAAAAAUCUCCAUGCUGUGCCUGGUCCAUGGAACCUGAGGUUCAGUUCGCUGUUGCCUGCAGAGAUGCAGAACUGUGUCAUCAAGCAGAGCGUGUUUACAGAGCGUCUUGGAAAGAGUGAGAAUUAAGCUACAAGGUGAAAUGCACUCCAAAAAAUGGGAGGGAAAGAGCUGAGGCUGAGAUUCCGGUUAGACCACCUCUGACAUGUUUUUAGUUUUACCGUGGCUAAUUGUUCUACCAAGUUUAAUUUUAUCAUGGUACUUCCAUUACAUGUAUUCUUGCACUAGGUCACGCUCCUCAUUAAUAUUAAUGGCCACUGGGUAUCGAAAAUUCCCCUUGAGCCACCUGAACAACUCAGCCCACUGGUACAAGCAAAGAAUGAUGC
RNAcentral lists this long non-coding RNA (1265 nucleotides) under Crocodylus porosus (Australian saltwater crocodile). RNAcentral describes it as "lncRNA (ENSCPRG00005009109.1)". The record is from RNAcentral. Lineage: Eukaryota; Metazoa; Chordata; Crocodylia; Crocodylidae.